RNAcentral lists this transfer RNA (84 nucleotides) under Candidatus Woesebacteria bacterium. RNAcentral describes it as "tRNA-Leu". It matches the Rfam family "tRNA". Rfam says of the family: Transfer RNA (tRNA) molecules are approximately 80 nucleotides in length. Lineage: Bacteria; Candidatus Woeseibacteriota. The record is from RNAcentral.
GCCGGGGUGGCGGAAUGGUAGACGCACAACUCUUAAAAAGUUGCGAUCGUAAUAGUCAUGCGGGUUCGAUCCCCGCCCCCGGCA